This 253-nucleotide ribosomal RNA is filed under the name uncultured bacterium. RNAcentral describes it as "partial 16S ribosomal RNA". It matches the Rfam family "Bacterial small subunit ribosomal RNA", at positions 524 to 776 of the family's 1533-position model. The record is from RNAcentral.
UACGUAGGGUGCGAGCGUUAAUCGGAAUUACUGGGCGUAAAGCGUGCGCAGGCGGUUUUGUAAGCCAGAUGUGAAAUCCCCGGGCUUAACCUGGGAAUGGCAUUUGGGACUACAAGGCUAGAGUGUGGCAGAGGGGGGUGGAAUUCCACGUGUAGCAGUGAAAUGCGUAGAGAUGUGGAGGAACACCGAUGGCGAAGGCAGCCCCCUGGGUUAACACUGACGCUCAGGCACGAAAGCGUGGGGAGCAAACAGG